This 492-nucleotide ribosomal RNA is filed under the name uncultured bacterium. RNAcentral's name for it is "partial 16S ribosomal RNA". It matches the Rfam family "Bacterial small subunit ribosomal RNA", at positions 29 to 507 of the family's 1533-position model. The record is from RNAcentral.
AGUGAACGCUGGCGGUAGGCCUAACACAUGCAAGUCGAACGGCAGCACAGUAAGAGCUUGCUCUUACGGGUGGCGAGUGGCGGACGGGUGAGGAAUACAUCGGAAUCUACUUUUUCGUGGGGGAUAACGUAGGGAAACUUACGCUAAUACCGCAUACGACCUACGGGUGAAAGCAGGGGAUCUUCGGACCUUGCGCGAUUGAAUGAGCCGAUGUCGGAUUAGCUAGUUGGCGGGGUAAAGGCCCACCAAGGCGACGAUCCGUAGCUGGUCUGAGAGGAUGAUCAGCCACACUGGAACUUAGACACGGUCCAGACUCCUACGGGAGGCAGCAGUGGGGAAUAUUGGACAAUGGGCGCAAGCCUGAUCCAGCCAUACCGCGUGGGUGAAGAAGGCCUUCGGGUUGUAAAGCCCUUUUGUUGGGAAAGAAAAGCAGCAGGUUAAUACCCCGCUGCUCUGACGGUACCCAAAGAAUAAGCACCGGCUAACUUCGUG